This 329-nucleotide ribosomal RNA is filed under the name uncultured eukaryote. RNAcentral's name for it is "partial 18S ribosomal RNA". It matches the Rfam family "Eukaryotic small subunit ribosomal RNA", at positions 1470 to 1796 of the family's 1831-position model. The record is from RNAcentral.
CCCUUAGAUGUUCUGGGCCGCACGCGCGCUACACUGAUGCAUUCAACGAGUCUAAAACCUGCUCUGAUAGGGGUGGGUAAUCUUUUGAAUGUGCAUCGUGAUUGGGAUAGAUGAUUGCAAUUUUUCAUCUUCAACGAGGAAUGCCUAGUAAACGCAAGUCAUCAGCUUGCAUUGAUUACGUCCCCGCCCUUUGUACACACCGCCCGUCGCUCCUACCGAUUGAAUGAUCCGAUGAAUAUCAUGGAUUGAGGAUUAUAGCAGGUUCGCCUGUCUUGAUCUUCGAGAAGUGAAGUAAAUCUUAUCAUUUAGAGGAAGGAGAAGUCGUAACA